UGGGGAAUCUUGGACAAUGGGCGCAAGCCUGAUCCAGCCAUGCCGCGUGGAUGAUGAAGGCCUUAGGGUUGUAAAAUCCUUUCGCCGAGGACGAUAAUGACGGUACUCGGAGAAGAAGCUCCGGCUAACUUCGUGCCAGCAGCCGCGGUAAUACGAAGGGGGCUAGCGUUGUUCGGAUUUACUGGGCGUAAAGCGCGUGUAGGCGGGUCGUUAAGUUGGGGGUGAAAUCCCGAGGCUCAACCUCGGAACUGCCUUCAAAACUGGCGACCUGGACCUAAGUAGAGGCAAGUGGAAUUGCGAGUGUAGAGGUGAAAUUCGUAGAUAUUCGCGGGAACACCAGUGGCGAAGGCGACUUGCUGGACUUAUGGUGACGCUGAGACGCGAAAGCGUGGGGAGCAAACAGGAUUAGAUACCCUAGUAGUCCCUGAGCGGGCUGGCAAGGCGCAU
RNAcentral lists this ribosomal RNA (447 nucleotides) under uncultured bacterium. RNAcentral describes it as "bacterial SSU rRNA". It matches the Rfam family "Bacterial small subunit ribosomal RNA", at positions 355 to 825 of the family's 1533-position model. The record is from RNAcentral.